Telopea speciosissima is the source of this 637-nucleotide long non-coding RNA. RefSeq lists it as uncharacterized. The transcript is spliced from 3 exons. NCBI's taxonomy places the organism in Eukaryota, Viridiplantae, Streptophyta, Magnoliopsida, Proteales, Proteaceae. The record is from RefSeq and is a predicted model, not a curated record.
GAUCUUUUUAUUUUUCUUGUUUUGGUUAAUCACUAAUAGUUGGUUGGUUCUUCAAGUCACCACAAUUUUGGGGUAUGUGAGAGAACUGAGACAAAUUGUAGAAAAGUUUCCCAGAUUUUUUUCGAUCUAAAUCGAGAUGUUUGUGUAGUACUUUCAUUUCAUUUAACUCUUCGUAGUUGUGUCCAUCACAAUCUAAAGUAUUCUUGGGAAAUGUAAGUGAGCACAAGUAUCUACGGUCUCCCUCUAUCUUGGGUUAAUGUGGGGACAAAUUAAGCUUCCUCUUCAAAGAGUGCCCAUGCCCAGAAACCCUCGUGAUACUUCAUUGAUUCAGAGGGAUGGACAGAGUUCUAUUGAAGCUACCUUCAAUUAGAAAAUAACAGAUCACAACUCAUAGCUGGAAAUACUCAAAGAAAGUGUUAUAGCUUUGCCAUACAACAUUUAAUUUAUUAUUAAAUGUGAAAAAGGUAGCAUAAUGACAGUGUUGCCUGGCUUGGCACCACGGCCCACCUGAUUUGUGUGUUUUGCCACAUGAUUUAGAAAGUUCCAACCAUAUGGACAGGUAGGGUCCACUUUGGAUUAGCCAUUUAUCAAAUUUGUUGGUCUAAUUCCAUGAUUCCAUCAUAUGGCUCAUUUGUAU